UUGUCUCUCUGUCCUGUCUCUGACUGGUCAUAUUGUCUCUCUGUCCUGUCUCUGACUGGUCAUAUUGUCUCUCUGUCCUGUCUCUGACUGGUCAUAUUGUCUCUCUGUCCUGUCUCUGACUGGUCAUAUUGUCUCUCUGUCCUGUCUCUGACUGCUCAUAUUGUCUCUGUCCUGUCUCUGACUGCUCAUAUUGUCUCUGUCCUGUCUCUGACUGCUCAUAUUGUCUCUGACCUGUCUCUGACCUGUCUCUGACUGCUCAUAUUGUCUCUGUCCUGUCGCUGACUGCUCAUAUUGUCUCUGUCCUGUCUCUGACUGCUCAUAUUGUCUCUGUCCUGUCUCUGACUGCUCAUAUUGUCUCUGUCCUGUCUCUGACUGCUCAUAUUGUCUCUGUCCUGUCUCUCUCUCUCUCUCUCUCUCUCUCUCUAAAUGGUAGAGUAGUGGGAGAAGUCUCUCUCUCUCUAUCUCUCGUUCGUUCGUUUGUUCGUUGUAUUAAAUGAGAGCGGAUAACCUGUCGAACCUUUUAUAAAGUUAGUAGCCUGAUUUGAUAUGAAACACUUUUCCCCAAAGCCUUUUUGAAGCCUGGGUCACGUUCAUCAGGCACCAAAUGGACACAAACGGGGAGUACUAUUUUUUUUAUUUUUGUUUUGUGUGUGUUGCACAAUGUUUUUGAAACGUAUUGCUACGAUGGGCCCUAAUGAACACGACCCAGGUGUGACGCCCAUGGACAAACAGGCAGCAAGUCAACAAGGAUAUUAUGAACAUUUUUAAAGGGCUUUUACCUCAAGUGUAAAACCAGUGUGAGAAAGAGACAGCUUAGGGGCUGUAGUAGUGUAAUUCAUCCUGAUUCUGUUGUCUUUUUUUUUUUUAAUUAAAGUUUUCACAUAAUAACAAAAAUAUACUUGUCCAUCUUAUUAUGCAACUGAUGAACUUUUUCUGAGUCUUCUUGUGUGAAAGACUGGUCUCCUGACAUGCGUUGAUAUGAUUGGUAGGGCAAGGUGUCUCAACUGUCUGUCCUGUUAGUUUUUUUGCAUGUCUCCUGAUGAACGUAAAACUACCACCUGCAUCCCAAAUGGAACACUAUUCCCUACUUAGUGCACUACUUUACACCAGAGCCCUAUGGAACCCUAUUCCCUAUAUAGUGCACUACUUUAGACCAGAGCCCUAUGGAACCCUAUUCCCUAUAUAGUACACUACUUUAGACCAGAGCCCUAUGGAACCCUAUUCCCUAUAUAGUGCACUACUUUAGACCAGAGCCCUAUGGAACCCUAUUCCCUACUUAGUGCACUACUUUAGACCAGAACCCUAUGGAACCCUAUUCCCUACUUAGUGCACUACUUUAGACCAGAGCCCUAUGGGCCCUAUAUAGGGAAUAGGGUGCAGUUUGGAACUAAGAGUUAGUUUCAAAACCACUUGCUAGAGGAGCUCUGGAAAAAUGAUAACACUUUACUUCAAGCCUGCAGGUAUAAUGCUUCAUAACUGCUCAUAAGCACCUAUAAGAGUAUUAUCUUGUCUCUUUAUGUCAACUGACUCAAACGGCUGGUAUUUCAUCCAUUAUGAGAUGAGACAUUUAUAAUAGGGUCAUAUGCUUAUGACAAUGCAUUAUAGCCGCAUCAUAAUGCAUUAUAACCUCUGGUAUUAAGUAAAGUUGUACUGAAGUUACGACUGGUUUUUCACUACCGUCCAUGAUGAUAGACCCAUUAUCUCCUACCUGUUCUACACUGGUCCCCCACAGCGGUUAGUCUCCUACCUGUUCUACACUGGUCCCCCACAGCAGUUAGUCUCCUACCUGUUCUACACUGGUCCCCCACAGCGGUUAGUCUCCUAGCCUGGUCCCCCAGCGCGGUUAGUCUCCUAGCCUGGUCCCCCCCCCCAGCGCGGUUAGUCUGCUAGCCUGGCUCCCCCCCAGCGGUUAGUCUGCUAGCCUGGCUCCCCCUCCACAGCGGUUAGUCUCCUAGCCUGGCUCCCCCACAUCGGUUUGUGCAUUCUUGACAGGGAAACCGCAACUUUGGGACAAUAAACCUUUUAUAGCCUGGUUAAACCAGACUGAAUGUUUCAAACGAUGGCGAUCAGCGUUUUCAGUAUGGUUUAACCAGGCUAUAAUAAACUUCUAGGAGAAAAUAAUUGUUUAAAAAUAACAAUAAUAACUGAAGCUUUUCAGUCAGAACUUAUCAGCAGGUUUUAUGUUUUCUGUAUUUUUAUUUAACAUAAACUGAAUUACCAAAUAACCUUUUUUUUUCUCGAUUUUUCCAUGUGUUUAUAUUGAUGCUUGUAUACAAUAUGUACACACUGUAUGGGAGAAACAAACAGUGAAUGAGGAAGUCCGAGGUCAUUUGAGAAGAGAACAUGACAUUUUAAUCAGAUGGAUUUCAUAGUUACCUGUCCUUGUAAAAGUUGUUAAUUUUAAAAUGUGAACAUGUACAGCUGGUGAGGAAGUUGUAAUAAAGAUUGUAUAAAACUAUA
RNAcentral lists this long non-coding RNA (2460 nucleotides) under Salmo salar (Atlantic salmon). Its description in RNAcentral is "lncRNA (ENSSSAG00000084998.1, ENSSSAG00000103675.1)". Lineage: Eukaryota; Metazoa; Chordata; Actinopteri; Salmoniformes; Salmonidae. The record is from RNAcentral.